RNAcentral lists this ribosomal RNA (253 nucleotides) under uncultured bacterium. RNAcentral describes it as "partial 16S ribosomal RNA". It matches the Rfam family "Bacterial small subunit ribosomal RNA", at positions 524 to 776 of the family's 1533-position model. The record is from RNAcentral.
UACGGAGGAUGCAGGCGUUAUCCGGAUUUAUUAGGUUUAAAGGGUGUGUAGGCGGAAGUUUAAGUCAGUGGUGAAAUUUUAGAGCUCAACUCUGAAACUGCCAUUGAUACUGAAUUUCUUGAAUUAGGUUAAGGUAGGCGGAAUGUGUAAUGUAGCGGUGAAAUGCUUAGAUAUUACACAGAACACCGAUUGCGUAGGCAGCUUACCGGACCUUAAUUGACGCUGAUGCACGAAAGCGUGGGUAGCGAACAGG